AGCAGCCGCGGUAAUUCCAGCUCCAAUAGCGUAUAUUAAAGUUGUUGCAGUUAAAAAGCUCGUAGUUGAAUUUCGGGGUCAGUAGGCUGGUCGUGCCACGGGUAUGUACUGGUCUUACUGAUUCCUCCUUCCUGAUGAACCGUAAUGCCAUUAAUUUGGUGUUGCGGGGAAUCUGGACUGUUACUUUGAAAAAAUUAGAGUGUUUAAAGCAGGCUAACGCUUGAAUACAUUAGCAUGGAAUAAUGAAAUAGGACGAUCGAUCCUAUUUUGUUGGUUUCUAGGAUUGACGUAAUGAUUAAUAGGGAUAGUUGGGGGCAUUAGUAUUCAAUUGUCAGAGGUGAAAUUCUUGGAUUUAUUGAAGACUAACUACUGCGAAAGCAUUUGCCAAGGAUGUUUUCAUUAAUCAAGAACGAAAGUUAGGGGAUCGAAGACGAUCAGAUACCGUCGUAGUCUUAACCAUAAACUAUGCCGACUAGGGAUCGGAUGAUGUUAAUUUUUUAAUGUACUCAUUCGGCGCCUU
Molecule: ribosomal RNA, 520 nt
Filed under: uncultured Glomus
Lineage: Eukaryota; Fungi; Glomeromycota; Glomeromycetes; Glomerales; Glomeraceae
Description: SSU rRNA
Rfam family: Eukaryotic small subunit ribosomal RNA
Source: RNAcentral